GGCAGCCCAGGGACCGGCGGGCGGAACGAGCGCCCCGACCGCCCCGCCAGCACCUUGCGUCCCGCGUGGGCGUGUUUGGCUUCGGAAAUCCCGGGUCGUCUCAGGCGCCCGGUCCUUCCCCGGGAAACAAUCGCCGGUCCAGCGCGGAGUUCCCCGCCGCUCGACUCCAGGCGGCUCCCUGGGUUCCCCCAGUCCCUUCCGCAUCCUUCCCGGCGUCUCGGCCGCGCGCCCAGGUGUCCCCGCGCCCCGCGCUGCCCCGCGCCCGGGCCUCCCGGCUCUCCAGCGCUGGGGUCCGCGCUCCCGCCGCGGGUCCAGCCUCUCCUCCCGCCCGGCUCCGCCCAGCCUCCGCCGCGCCGGGGCUCCCGGCCCGGCCUCCCAGUCUCCCUCCCACCUCCGCCCCCCACCCCCGCCCAGAGACUUGCUAUUUUUAGCCAAUCCUCCGCGCGCCGCCACCGGCUCUGCUCACAGCUCGCAGCCGCGCGGCCGCCCUGCCGAACCACCCCCCAACCCCGCGCCGCGGUGGCCGCGGCGGCGGCGGCGGCGCAUCCCGCACAUCGCGUAGCGCGCACCGCGCGCACCCAGCCCGCCCCGCCGCUCCCGCCGCCCUCGCCGCCGUCUCCUCCUCAGGCGCCUGUCGCGGCCGGUGGAUUCUUACCACUGGGCCACCUGGGAAGUCCUAAGCCACUCUUAGUCUGGGUCUCUGUCACACACCAGCAAGGUUCUGCCUAGACCAGCUUCUCGUGGACCAGCAUUGCCAGCUAACAGAAGGCUGUGAGUCUGCAUCUCGGCCCAUCCAUCCUUCUCCUUAUUCCCAUGAUGAGUUCACCAGUGCGGUCCGGUCAGUCUGGUUGCUUUUUAAACUUUAAACAAAUUUAGUAUGAAAGAUGUUGUUUUGUAUUGCUUCAAGUUAGGCAAUUUAAAUUGUGAAAUGACUUUUUUCUCCUGAUGAAGUUUGUUCGAUAUAAUGAAUUUUGAACUGUGUUCUAUAGCCAGUCCUCUAUUGCAUAACCAACUUGCAUUCCAGGCAAUUAAUUUCAUUUGCUUUGUUAUCUGAGCAGUAGACUUUAAUUCUUCUGCUGCAAAUGUAACAUUUGGGGUGAAUUUUAUGAAGUUAUAAAUAUUUAUUAAAUAUGACGUAGGCAUCUAAUUUACAUCCAUAGUCUUUCUGACCAAAUACCUGUCUGUAUGCUUUUUAAACGGUGUCAUGGUCUUUGCAAGUCAGCUUGUGGAUUUACUCCUCUUCCAUCUCUGUGACACACAGGAAGGAUAUUUUUCUUCCCCACCCUUCUUUGCUGCCACUCCUGUUUCCUAUAUACAUAUUUAAUUAUAAUCUCAACACCUGCUUCCUCUGAGUCCAGUUAAUGUGUGGCUCAUCUAGUGUUGUGAUCAGCACAGCCAACACCCGUUUCUCCAGGAAUAGGGUGUCACUUUUGGAACAAACACGAUCCAAAUCUUCAGAAUGAUGGAAUAGCUUCAGAUA
RNAcentral lists this long non-coding RNA (1480 nucleotides) under Cervus hanglu yarkandensis (Yarkand deer). RNAcentral describes it as "lncRNA (ENSCHYG00000008717.1)". The record is from RNAcentral. Lineage: Eukaryota; Metazoa; Chordata; Mammalia; Artiodactyla; Cervidae.